RNAcentral lists this ribosomal RNA (710 nucleotides) under Roseovarius sp. Its description in RNAcentral is "bacterial SSU rRNA". It matches the Rfam family "Bacterial small subunit ribosomal RNA", at positions 35 to 794 of the family's 1533-position model. The record is from RNAcentral. Lineage: Bacteria; Pseudomonadati; Pseudomonadota; Alphaproteobacteria; Rhodobacterales; Roseobacteraceae.
GCCAAUGCGGCAGCUACACAUGCAGUCGAGCGAGAACUUCGGUUCUAGCGGCGGACGGGUUAGUAACGCGUGGGAACGUGCCCUUCACUACGGAAUAGUCCCGGGAAACUGGGUUUAAUACCGUAUACGCCCUUCGGGGGAAAGAAUUUCGGUGAAGGAUCGGCCCGCGUUAGAUUAGAUAGUUGGUGGGGUAACGGCCUACCAAGUCUACGAUCUAUAGCUGGUUUUAGAGGAUGAUCAGCAACACUGGGACUGAGACACGGCCCAGACUCCUACGGGAGGCAGCAGUGGGGAAUCUUAGACAAUGGGCGCAAGCCUGAUCUAGCCAUGCCGCGUGAGUGAUGAAGGCCUUAGGGUCGUAAAGCUCUUUCGCCAGGGAUGAUAAUGACAGUACCUGGUAAAGAAACCCCGGCUAACUCCGUGCCAGCAGCCGCGGUAAUACGGAGGGGGUUAGCGUUGUUCGGAAUUACUGGGCGUAAAGCGCGCGUAGGCGGAUUGGAAAGUUGGGGGUGAAAUCCCAGGGCUCAACCCUGGAACUGCCUCCAAAACUAUCAGUCUAGAGUUCGAGAGAGGUGAGUGGAACUCCGAGUGUAGAGGUGAAAUUCGUAGAUAUUCGGAAGAACACCAGUGGCGAAGGCGGCUCACUGGCUCGAUACUGACGCUGAGGUGCGAAAGUGUGGGGAGCAAACAGGAUUAGAUACCCUGGUAGU